GACGAACGCUGGCGGCGUGCUUAACACAUGCAAGUCGAACGGAAAGGCCCUGCUUUUGUGGGGUGCUCGAGUGGCGAACGGGUGAGUAACACGUGAGUAACCUGCCCUUGACUUUGGGAUAACUUCAGGAAACUGGGGUUAAUACCGGAUAGGAGCUCCUGCUGCAUGGUGGGGGUUGGAAAGUUUCGGCGGUUGGGGAUGGACUCGCGGCUUAUCAGCUUGUUGGUGGGGUAGUGGCUUACCAAGGCUUUGACGGGUAGCCGGCAUGAGAGGGUGACCGGCGACAUUGGGACUGAGAUACGGCCCAGACUGCUACGGUAGGCAGCAGUGGGGAAUAUUACACAAUGGGACGAAGCCUGAGGCAGCAACGCCGCGUGCGGGAUGACGGCCUGCGGGUUGUAAACCGCUUUCGCCUGUUACGAAGCGGGAGUGACGGUAAUGGGUAAAGAAGCACCGGCUAACUACGUG
RNAcentral lists this ribosomal RNA (468 nucleotides) under uncultured bacterium. RNAcentral describes it as "partial 16S ribosomal RNA". It matches the Rfam family "Bacterial small subunit ribosomal RNA", at positions 28 to 507 of the family's 1533-position model. The record is from RNAcentral.